This 485-nucleotide ribosomal RNA is filed under the name uncultured bacterium. Its description in RNAcentral is "bacterial SSU rRNA". It matches the Rfam family "Bacterial small subunit ribosomal RNA", at positions 43 to 524 of the family's 1533-position model. The record is from RNAcentral.
CAGGCCUAACACAUGCAAGUCGAGCGGUAGAGAGAAGCUUGCUUCUCUUGAGAGCGGCGGACGGGUGAGUAAUGCCUAGGAAUCUGUCUGGUAGUGGGGGAUAACGUUCGGAAACGGACGCUAAUACCGCAUACGCUCUACGGGAGAAAGCAGGGGACCUUCGGGCCUUGCGCUAUCAGAUGAGCCUAGGUCGGAUUAGCUAGUUGGUGAGGUAAUGGCUCACCAAGGCGACGAUCCGUAACUGGUCUGAGAGGAUGAUCAGUCACACUGGAACUGAGACACGGUCCAGACUCUACGGGAGGCAGCAGUGGGGAAUAUUGGACAAUGGGCGAAAGCCUGAUCCAGCCAUGCCGCGUGUGUGAAGAAGGUCUUCGGAUUGUAAAGCACUUUAAGUUGGGAGGAAGGGCAGUUACCUAAUACGUGAUUGUUUUGACGUUACCGACAGAAUAAGCACCGGCUAACUCUGUGCCAGCAGCCGCGGUAAU